This 475-nucleotide ribosomal RNA is filed under the name uncultured soil bacterium. Its description in RNAcentral is "bacterial SSU rRNA". It matches the Rfam family "Bacterial small subunit ribosomal RNA", at positions 26 to 520 of the family's 1533-position model. The record is from RNAcentral.
AGGAUGAACGCUGGCGGCGUGCUUAACACAUGCAAGUCGAACGAUUAAAGCCCCUUCGGGGGUGUAUAGAGUGGCGAACGGGUGAGUAACACGUGGGCAAUCUGCCCCUCACUUCGGGAUAACUCAGAGAAAUUUGAGCUAAUACCGAAUACUCCGAUCGGAUCGCAUGGUCUGAUUGGGAAAGCUCCGACGGUGAGGGAUGAGCCCGCGGCCCAUUAGCUUGUUGGUAGGGUAAUGGCCUACCAAGGCGACGAUGGGUAGCCGCGCUGAGAGGCGGAUCGGCCACACUGGGACUGAGACACGGCCCAGACUCCUACGGGAGGCAGCAGUGGGGAAUUCUGCGCAAUGGGCGAAAGCCUGACGCAGCAACGCCGCGUGCGGGAUGAAGGCUCUCGGUCGUAAACCGCUUUCAGCAGGGAUGAAAUUGACAGUACCUGCAGAAGAAGCCCCGCUAAAUACGUGCCAGCAGCCGCGU